Phalacrocorax carbo (great cormorant) is the source of this 1496-nucleotide non-coding RNA. Lineage: Eukaryota; Metazoa; Chordata; Aves; Suliformes; Phalacrocoracidae. The record is from RefSeq and is a predicted model, not a curated record.
GGUAGGUCUCAUCCCACUGAAAUAUAAUGUCUUAGGGUCUCUGCAUCAUGGCUAGUAGCAGGGCCAUCCUGGGACAGUUUCAGCAUCUUGAAAUUUCUGGGGCAAAAGGGUGCCUUGGUUCUGACCCCUCUAUGUGCAAUGUUCUCUGCAUGGAGCAAGAAUGGAGAGGCAAAGGUGAUGCCAGGGCUCAUGAUAUCCCAUACUGCUGGUGUGACUGGGUGACACUGUUGAGCCAGGGUGGAGCUGUCGGCUUACAGCAGAGUGCUGCAAGCACUUCUUCAUACCGUAAGUACUUAGUUUUUCAUCCCAGAUUUCUUAUUGUGCAUGAAUCAUUUAUCAAUGAUUUGGCCUUGUACUGCUGAAAAAACAAAGGUCCUCAUUUUCACCAGGGCAGCAUGCCUAUUAACAGUAGUACUGCUAUCAUAGACUCAAGUUAGGUUUGUAUGACAAGCUGUCCUCUUAAGUGUUCAGGUGAUGGAAAGUUUAGUAGAUUCAGGAAGACCCCAGCAAAAAACCCUCCUUCCUUGUUUCUCGAUGUAUACUCAGGAAGUAAAUGGGACACAGAUUUGGUAAGAGAACGAAUGUUACAGCCACCUGGCUUCUUUGGUGAGUCCACCUCCAUUCUCAGCAGUCCAGGUUAGUGCUGUUUGCUCCCCUGUAGACCCCCUCUGAAUUUCACCCUAGCAUCAGUCCUAUGAACAUAAAUAGAUUAUCUGCCUCUCUCUCAUUUCAUUUAACACCAGGUUUGUGCAAAUGGAAACUGAUGACUCACAAGGAUUGUUCUGGGACUGGCUCAUUAGGCUCUGGAGGAGAUAUCACAGUGGCUUUUCCAGAGAGGGCAAAUGUGGUUCACUGAGUUAACACACUGUACUAACUGAGAGGAGAUCAUUCAUUUCUGAGAAGAGCACCAGGUUCACAUGGGGGUGGCCGACAAGAGUUUAUUUGAGACCAGACUGUUCUGGCACUUCUGUCCAGUCCACCACGUCUGACAGUAUAGUCCAAGGGAGGUGUGUGGUGAGACCCUGGUGAGAAGUGCAGCCCAUCAGCCCCCAAAGUACUUGUCUGUCAGCGAUUGACAGUAGGAAUGCAGAAGAAAACCAGGCAGAAAUAAUUCUGAAGAUGCUGGCAGGAACCGCGGCACCUUCGCACCGUGAAAAGGCACAGCAUCAGUACUGCUUCAAGGUGCUGUUCCUGUGGCAGCAGAAGAGAUGAAGCCAGGGAGCCAGGACUCCUUCCACACCAUCCUUCUUGCCACAUCUUUCCUCACCUGGUGCCCCAAGAGGUGCAAGCAGAGCGAGAGGCUGCCCGUGAACUGAGUUGCCUCGCUUUCCACUCUGACGUGAGCAUCUUCGCAGGAGCUGCCCCCCGAGCAAAGCUCAAAGGAGGGGGAUGAGCGGUAGCAUAGCCUUGUGACUGGUGCAAAUGAGUCCUGCUGAUCCCAGGUGUUUAAAAAUUGCAGGACCCAGCAGAAUAAUGUAAUUAGCCAGAAAAAAUAU